Molecule: ribosomal RNA, 236 nt
Filed under: uncultured bacterium
Lineage: Bacteria
Description: partial 16S ribosomal RNA
Rfam family: Bacterial small subunit ribosomal RNA
Source: RNAcentral
UGGCGGACGGGUGAGUAAUGUCUGGGAAACUGCCCGAGGGAGGGGGAUAACUACGGGAAACGGUAGCUAAUACCGCAUAACGUCGCAAGACCAAAAGAGGGGGACCUUCGGGCCUCUUGCCAUCAGAUGAACCCAUAUGGGAUUAGCUUGUAGGUAAGGUAACGGCUUACCUAGGCGACGAUCCCUAGCUGGUCUGAGAGGAUGAUCAGCCACACUGGGACUGAGACACGGCCCAG